UACGGAAGGCAGCAGUGGGGAAUAUUGCACAAUGGGCGAAAGCCUGAUGCAGCUAUGCCGCGUGUAUGAAGAAGGCCUUAGGGUUGUAAAGUACUUUUCAUCGGGGAGGAAAAACAAAACUAAUAAUUUUAUUUCUUGACGUUACCCGAAAAAGAAGCACCGGCUAACUCCGUGCCAGCAGCCGCGGUAAUACGGAGGGUGCUAGCGUUAAUCAGAAUUACUGGGCGUAAAGAGCACGUAGGUGGUUUUUUUAAGUCAGAUGUGAAAUCCCUGGGCUUAACCUGGAACUGCAUUUUGAAACUGAAAUACUAGAGUAUCGUAGAGGGAGGUAGAAUUCUAGGUGUAGCGGUGAAAUGCGUAGAUAUCUGGAGGAAUACCUGUGGCGAAAGCGGCCUCCUAAACGAAUACUGACACUGAGGUGCGAAAGCGUGGGGAGCGAAACAGGGAUUAGGAUACCCGU
Molecule: ribosomal RNA, 460 nt
Filed under: uncultured bacterium
Lineage: Bacteria
Description: bacterial SSU rRNA
Rfam family: Bacterial small subunit ribosomal RNA
Source: RNAcentral